Molecule: ribosomal RNA, 253 nt
Filed under: uncultured bacterium
Lineage: Bacteria
Description: partial 16S ribosomal RNA
Rfam family: Bacterial small subunit ribosomal RNA
Source: RNAcentral
UACGUAGGGGGCAAGCGUUGUCCGGAAUCAUUGGGCGUAAAGCGCGUGUAGGCGGUUCCGUAAGUCUGCUGUGAAAGUCCAGGGCUCAACCCUGGGAUGCCGGUGGAUACUGCAGGGCUAGAGUACGGAAGAGGCGAGUGGAAUUCCCGGUGUAGCGGUGAAAUGCGCAGAUAUCGGGAGGAACACCUAUUGCGAAGGCAGCUCGCUGGGACGUUACUGACGCUGAGACGCGAAAGCGUGGGGAGCAAACAGG